GAGAGACCGGAGGGGGGAGGGACCAAAUAUUCCACAGUUUUUUCCUCUUUUAAACUCUUGACUAAUAUUCAUCCCACUCAAAUUUAUUGGCUUCAUUAACUAGAUAGAUGGUUAUCUAUCUGACUUAUCCCAGUCAAAAUCAGAAAUGGUUUAUGAUAGCACCUUAUACAAACACCCUCUCAUACCGUUUAAAUCAAGGUUGUGUUUAAAAAGUAAAGCAUUGAUAGAGAUAAUCUUUGCACUCUUAGCAAUCCCUACUCAAUCCCACCAAUGAAGUACCGCCAGGAUUUCUUACCCUUAAUGCCUUGACUCAUAUUUAAAUUUUUAUGCCAUCAAGGAACAGAAGAUAUUUCUACUACUUAUCAUUCAUCUUCAUCUAUCAAAUUGCCCAUUCCUUAAUUUUUCAGCUCAUGUUCUAAUCAAAUCUGUUAAUAGAGUUCUCUUCCUCGCUGCCUUUCUUUUCUCCUAUCUUCAUGAAAUACCACCAAAAAGAUGGAAUUUAUGUGAAUUGACUAUAAGCAUGUAUUAAAUGCUACUACUGUGUUUAGCAAACCAUAAUACUACAUUAACUAAUCCUAGAACUGAUGAAACACAAAAACAUCUUAUGGAUUCCACCCCCCAUCCCCCAAUCCUCUUUUUCUAUAUCCUUCAUUCAACUAACUUAAUGCUCCAGCAAACAUGAGACCCAGCUUAUAAAGCAAAAUUGCUCAUUAAAAAUGAGCAAGUAAGUUGAAAAAACCCAAUUUUAAUGCAGUUCAACCAAAAGAGGAUUGCCCACACAACAGAAAACUUGAUUUUUUUGUAUAAUUUCAUACCUAUAAAAUGUGAGUAGUGAUUCUUUCAAAGGGAAUGAAAAUCAACGAAGAGAGAACAAAAGAAAAUAUAAUGAUGAGGAAUAGAUUAAAAAAAUAAUGCAAGGCAAAGUUUGUAAUUUACCUCCUUCUGUGACUGAUGGUAUAC
Molecule: unclassified non-coding RNA, 960 nt
Filed under: Hevea brasiliensis (rubber tree)
Lineage: Eukaryota; Viridiplantae; Streptophyta; Magnoliopsida; Malpighiales; Euphorbiaceae
Source: RNAcentral